GACGAACGCUGGCGGCGUGCUUAACACAUGCAAGUCGAACGGAAAGGCCUCUUUCGGGGGGUACUCGAGUGGCGAACGGGUGAGUAACACGUGAGUAACCUGCCCUUGACUUUGGGAUAACUUCAGGAAACUGGGGCUAAUACCGGAUAGGAGCUCCUGCUGCAUGGUGGGGGUUGGAAAGUUUCGGCGGUUGGGGAUGGACUGGCGGCUUAUCAGCUUGUUGGUGGGGUAGUGGCUUACCAAGGCCUUGACGGGUAGCCGGCCUGUGAGGGUGACCGGCGGCAUUGGGACUGAGAUGCGGCCCAGACUCCUACGGGAGGCAGCAGUGGGGAAUAUUGCACAAUGGGUGGAAGCCUGAUGCAGCAGCGCCGUGUGCGGGAUGACGGCCUUCGGGUUGUAGACCGCUUUCGCUCAUGACGAAGCUUUGUGUGACGGUAGUGAAUAAAGAAGCACCGGCUAACUACGUG
RNAcentral lists this ribosomal RNA (467 nucleotides) under uncultured bacterium. Its description in RNAcentral is "partial 16S ribosomal RNA". It matches the Rfam family "Bacterial small subunit ribosomal RNA", at positions 28 to 507 of the family's 1533-position model. The record is from RNAcentral.